ACUCAAAUGAAUUGACGGGGACCCGCACAAGCGGUGGAGCAUGUGGUUUAAUUCGACGCAACGCGAAGAACCUUACCAGGGCUUGACAUCCCGCGCAACUUUUGGAAACAAGAGGUUCUUGCCUUCGGGUAAGACGCGGAGACAGGUGGUGCAUGGUUGUCGUCAGCUCGUGUCGUGAGAUGUUGGGUUAAGUCCCGCAACGAGCGCAACCCCUAUUUUUAGUUGCCAGCAAGUCAAGUUGGGCACUCUAAAGAAACUGCCGGUGACAAACCGGAGGAAGGUGGGGAUGACGUCAAAUCAUCAUGCCCUUUAUGUCCUGGGCUACACACGUGCUACAAUGGCCGGUACAGAGGGUCGCGAAGGGGCGACCUGGAGCCAAUCCCAAAAAGCCGGUCUCAGUUCGGAUUGCAGGCUGCAACUCGCCUGCAUGAAGUCGGAAUCGCUAGUAAUCGCGAGUCAGCAUAUCGCGGUGAAUACGUUCCCGGGUCUUGCACACACCGCCCGU
Molecule: ribosomal RNA, 505 nt
Filed under: uncultured bacterium
Lineage: Bacteria
Description: bacterial SSU rRNA
Rfam family: Bacterial small subunit ribosomal RNA
Source: RNAcentral